This is a microRNA precursor of Chlorocebus sabaeus (green monkey), 112 nucleotides long. Lineage: Eukaryota; Metazoa; Chordata; Mammalia; Primates; Cercopithecidae. The record is from Ensembl.
AUUUUUGGUACCCGGUGGCAAGGUGGAUGCAAUGUGACCUCAACACUUGGUCCUCUGAGGUCACAUUGUAUCCACCCUACCACUGGGUACCAACGUGUGGGCAGCAGCUGCA